Molecule: ribosomal RNA, 449 nt
Filed under: uncultured bacterium
Lineage: Bacteria
Description: partial 16S ribosomal RNA
Rfam family: Bacterial small subunit ribosomal RNA
Source: RNAcentral
AACGAACGCUGGCGGCAUGCCUAAUACAUGCAAGUCGAACGAUCACUUCGGUGGUAGUGGCGCACGGGUGCGUAACGCGUGGGAAUCUGCCCUUGGGUUCGGAAUAACGUCGGGAAACUGACGCUAAUACCGGAUGAUGACGUAAGUCCAAAGAUUUAUCGCCCAGGGAUGAGCCCGCGUAGGAUUAGCUAGUUGGUGGGGUAAAGGCCUACCAAGGCGACGAUCCUUAGCUGGUCUGAGAGGAUGAUCAGCCACACUGGGACUGAGACACGGCCCAGACUCCUACGGGAGGCAGCAGUAGGGAAUAUUGGACAAUGGGGGCAACCCUGAUCCAGCAAUGCCGCGUGAGUGAUGAAGGCCUUAGGGUUGUAAAGCUCUUUUACCCGGGAUGAUAAUGACAGUACCGGGAGAAUAAGCCCCGGCUAACUCCGUGCCAGCCGCCGUAAUAC